Molecule: ribosomal RNA, 504 nt
Filed under: uncultured bacterium
Lineage: Bacteria
Description: partial 16S ribosomal RNA
Rfam family: Bacterial small subunit ribosomal RNA
Source: RNAcentral
GAUGAACGCUAGCUACAGGCUUAACACAUGCAAGUCGAGGGGCAGCAUAAAUCUAGCAAUAGAUUUGAUGGCGACCGGCGCACGGGUGAGUAACACGUAUCCAACCUACCUAUUACUCGGGUAUAGCCUUUCGAAAGAAAGAUUAAUCCCCGAUACGAUAUUGAGUUCGCAUGAAUUUGAUAUGAAAGAUUUAUUGGUAUUAGAUGGGGAUGCGUUCCAUUAGAUUGUUGGUGAGGUAACGGCUCACAAAGUCUUCGAUGGAUAGGGGUUCUGAGAGGAAGGUCCCCCACACUGGAACUGAGACACGGUCCAGACUCCUACGGGAGGCAGCAGUGAGGAAUAUUGGUCAAUGGGCGAGAGCCUGAACCAGCCAAGUAGCGUGAGGGAUGACUGCCCUAUGGGUUGUAAACCUCUUUUAUAAGGGAAUAAAACGCUCCACGAGUGGAGCUUUGCAUGUACCUUUUGAAUAAGGAUCGGCUAACUCCGUGCCAGCAGCCGCCGUAA